UACGAAGGGGGCUAGCGUUGCUCGGAAUCACUGGGCGUAAAGCGCACGUAGGCGGCUUUUUAAGUCAGAGGUGAAAUCCUGGAGCUCAACUCCAGAACUGCCUUUGAUACUGAGGAGCUUGAGUCCGGGAGAGGUGAGUGGAACUGCGAGUGUAGAGGUGAAAUUCGUAGAUAUUCGCAAGAACACCAGUGGCGAAGGCGGCUCACUGGCCCGGUACUGACGCUGAGGUGCGAAAGCGUGGGGAGCAAACAGG
Molecule: ribosomal RNA, 253 nt
Filed under: uncultured bacterium
Lineage: Bacteria
Description: partial 16S ribosomal RNA
Rfam family: Bacterial small subunit ribosomal RNA
Source: RNAcentral